Molecule: ribosomal RNA, 403 nt
Filed under: uncultured bacterium
Lineage: Bacteria
Description: partial 16S ribosomal RNA
Rfam family: Bacterial small subunit ribosomal RNA
Source: RNAcentral
AUUGAACGCUGGCGGCAGGCCUAACACAUGCAAGUCGAGCGAGCGGCGGACGGGUGAGUAAUGUCUGGGGACUGCCCGAUAGAGGGGGAUAACUACUGGAAACGGUAGCUAAUACCGCAUACUAUCGGAUACACCAUAUGGGAUUAGCUAGUGGGCGAGGUAAUGGCUCACCUAGGCGAGCAUCCCUAGCUGGUCUGAGAGGAGGAGCAGCCAACCUGGGACUGCGACACGGCCCAGAGGCCUACGGGGGAAGCCGUAGGGAUAAUUGCGCAAGGGGUGCAAGACAUAUGCAGACAUGCCGCGUGUAUGAAGAAGGCACUAGGGUUGUAAAGUACUUUCGGUCGGGAGGCGUUACCGACAGAAGAAGCACCGGCUAACUCCGUGCCAGCAGCCGCGGUAAUUC